This 476-nucleotide ribosomal RNA is filed under the name uncultured eukaryote. RNAcentral's name for it is "partial 18S ribosomal RNA". It matches the Rfam family "Eukaryotic small subunit ribosomal RNA", at positions 592 to 955 of the family's 1831-position model. The record is from RNAcentral.
CACAGGCGUAUGCGAAUGCUGUUGCUGUUAAAAAGCUCGUAGUGCAGUGUGAUACCGUGUUGCCGGCUGUCGUCCGCAAGGGCUUCGGUUUUCUUUCCGGUGUCUUUUCGAACAGGCGUUGUGGAUGUAUCCUUCAUUGGUUGUGUCCACCGUUUUGCAAUUGCCACUUGCGCACUGCGGCUGUUCUAUUGUUACCGUGAGCCAAUCAAUGUGUUCAAAGCAGUCCGUCUGAAAGGAUUUCGUGGCUGAAUGCUCAAGCAUGGGAUGACAAGGGAGCGAUCACUGGUUGUUGAUUGUUUCGUCGGUUUUGAAACGUCCAGGAGUAUCGGAGAUGAGGUAGCUGGUCAUGGAAGCGAUCUGCGGAUGUGAUCAGCCCCUUCUCUGCGGCACAAACAGAGGCAGGUGGGGUACCCUGUAUUGCUUGGGAAGGAGUGAAACCCGUUGAUCCAAGCAAGACGGACGGAAGCGAAGGCGUU